UGAGCUCUGAUAUGUCUGGUAUUCUUGGGUUCGUUGUGGAACCAGAAGUAUUAGACAUAUCGAAGAUCGG
This is a non-coding RNA of Heterorhabditis bacteriophora, 70 nucleotides long. Lineage: Eukaryota; Metazoa; Nematoda; Chromadorea; Rhabditida; Heterorhabditidae. The record is from Rfam.